GGCCUUUUAUAGGUAGACUGGUGCGGGUAAAAUUGUGCCUCAUAUAUAUUUGACAGUCACAGUCUCUGUCUCAUUCCUCACUUUGAACUUGUGGCUGACGGAGCUGUUUUAUCUGGAGAAAACCUGGUGCAAUUUAUUCGACAAAAAGGUGAUUUUUGAUUAUAACCACAAGAUGAAGGUUUGCCGUCAAUCUAAGCUGCACACAACAGCCGAAAUGCCAGCGGAAACCGAUCCCGGAUAGGGAUCCGGUUCCGCUGGCUUUCGGAAAUAUGAUGACUACUUCUUAGAGAAAUCUUUGAAAUUUAAUUUAAGUGAGGAAAUAAAUGUGUCAAAAUGAGCGUCCAAUAAAAAAAAUGUGUGUAUGUAAAAAA
This is a long non-coding RNA of Culex quinquefasciatus (southern house mosquito), 371 nucleotides long. RefSeq lists it as uncharacterized. NCBI's taxonomy places the organism in Eukaryota, Metazoa, Arthropoda, Insecta, Diptera, Culicidae. The transcript is spliced from 2 exons. The record is from RefSeq and is a predicted model, not a curated record.